UACGGGGGGGGCAAGCGUUGUUCGGAAUUACUGGGCGUAAAGGGCGCGUAGGCGGCCAACUAAGUCAGACGUGAAAUCCCUCGGCUUAACCGGGGAACUGCGUCUGAUACUGGAUGGCUAGAGUUUGGGAGAGGGAUGCGGAAUUCCAGGUGUAGCGGUGAAAUGCGUAGAUAUCUGGAGGAACACCGGUGGCGAAGGCGGCACCCUGGACCAACACUGACGCUGAGGAGCGAAAGCCAGGGGAGCAAACGGG
Molecule: ribosomal RNA, 253 nt
Filed under: uncultured bacterium
Lineage: Bacteria
Description: partial 16S ribosomal RNA
Rfam family: Bacterial small subunit ribosomal RNA
Source: RNAcentral